RNAcentral lists this ribosomal RNA (870 nucleotides) under Myriangium duriaei. RNAcentral's name for it is "partial large subunit ribosomal RNA". The stretch from base 1 to 430 matches the Rfam family "Bacterial large subunit ribosomal RNA", at positions 873 to 1226 of the family's 2925-position model. The record is from RNAcentral. Lineage: Eukaryota; Fungi; Ascomycota; Dothideomycetes; Myriangiales; Myriangiaceae.
GAUCGGAAAUUACAAUAACACUCUUAGCAGGUACAGAACUGUGAUCUCAGGCAAGUUAUCUUAUAUAAGAUAAUUUUUUUUUGCAUACAUCGGGGGAUCGUGAAGAUUCUAUCGGUGAGGAUUUGCUCUCGGAAGGGCAAAGAUGAAUAUUGAAUAAUCAGACAUAGUACGAUAAGGUUGUAUGUCAAGAGGGAAACAGCCCAGAACAAGUGUUUAAGGUUCCAAAAUUAUUGUUAAGUGAAAUUAAGGAAGUUUUUUUCAAAUACAACCAGGAAAUAGGCUUAGAAGCGGCCAUUUUUUGAAGACCUCGUAACAGAGCACUGGUUCAUAUAUAUAAAUUAAUGCAAAUUAAUUUAAGUUAAAAGCGCCGAAAAUAUAACGGAUCUAAAACAAUAUACCGACACCUUGUCCAUAAUUCAUAAUAUAAUAUAUAAAUGACUUAUUUAUGUAGCCCUACAUUAACAAUACAUCGACCCUCCUUUAAAAAAAAGGGGGGGUAACCAUAAAGAAAUUAUUAUUUAAAAUAUGAAAGACUAUCUUUCUUAAAUUCUUAAAUUAUGAAAAUAUAAUGAAAUCUCUUUGCUAUAUUUUUUUUGUUACUUUAUAUAAAAUAACAAAAAUAAGAAAAAAAUAUAUGAAAUCUCUUAAUGAAAAUAAAUUGAAAAGAAAAAAAUAUAUUGUAAUUAUGGGGUAGCGGAACGUUGGGGAAAUCUUGGAUUUUACUUUUAGUAAAAAAUUAGAUACCAAGUGAGAUGCUGACAUGAGUACGAAAAGGUAUAGCCUCGCUUAAGCUAGCAUUUCUUAAGUACGCUCUAAGUAUAUAGACCUGCCUAGGACUAACGAUGAGAAAUCUACUAUGAUGCACCUAAG